This 589-nucleotide ribosomal RNA is filed under the name Phoma herbarum. RNAcentral's name for it is "partial large subunit ribosomal RNA". It matches the Rfam family "Eukaryotic large subunit ribosomal RNA", at positions 49 to 653 of the family's 3401-position model. Lineage: Eukaryota; Fungi; Ascomycota; Dothideomycetes; Pleosporales; Didymellaceae. The record is from RNAcentral.
AGCGGAGGAAAAGAAACCAACAGGGAUUGCCCUAGUAACGGCGAGUGAAGCGGCAACAGCUCAAAUUUGAAAUCUGGCGUCUUUGGCGUCCGAGUUGUAAUUUGCAGAGGGCGCUUUGGCAUUGGCAGCGGUCCAAGUUCCUUGGAACAGGACGUCACAGAGGGUGAGAAUCCCGUACGUGGUCGCUAGCCUUUACCGUGUAAAGCCCCUUCGACGAGUCGAGUUGUUUGGGAAUGCAGCUCUAAAUGGGAGGUAAAUUUCUUCUAAAGCUAAAUACUGGCCAGAGACCGAUAGCGCACAAGUAGAGUGAUCGAAAGAUGAAAAGCACUUUGGAAAGAGAGUUAAAAAGCACGUGAAAUUGUUGAAAGGGAAGCGCUUGCAGCCAGACUUGCCUGUAGUUGCUCAUCCGGGUUUUUACCCGGUGCACUCUUCUAUAGGCAGGCCAGCAUCAGUUUGGGCGGUUGGAUAAAGGUCUCUGUCAUGUACCUCUCUUCGGGGAGAACUUAUAGGGGAGACGACAUGCAACCAGCCUGGACUGAGGUCCGCGCAUCUGCUAGGAUGCUGGCGUAAUGGCUGUAAGCGGCCCGUC